Molecule: long non-coding RNA, 340 nt
Filed under: Hordeum vulgare
Lineage: Eukaryota; Viridiplantae; Streptophyta; Magnoliopsida; Poales; Poaceae
Description: long non-coding RNA (HVUL_LNC013358)
Source: RNAcentral
UGAAAUCGUGACACCUUUAUUUUAUUGAUUCUUCAAUUUAUUACAAUCCUCAAGACUUCAAAUACAUAAUUAGAUUCCCUAUCCUCAUGAAAAUAAGAGUACUUCCUACUACAUAUAUUACCAACGCAAAAACAAUUAGCUACUCAUCUCCAUAUUUCUUAUUUUUUGGGAAUUUAUUUGCAUAAUGUCCAGCUUCCUUGGAGCGAAAACAGACGACUUUCGAUAAGUUUCAAGGCUUCUUGGUUAUGGGUUUGCUCCUUGGGCUAUCUCCUUAUUUUUUGGGCAUUGGUAAAUGUAGUGACUCGAUUGCUUGCACCUGAAACACAUGAUAUGACUCCGA